GCUCGAAGACAGAGCCGAGCUUAUGAGCCCGGAUAGCCUGCAGAAAGUCAGCCAACGGCUGCGAUUAUUCCUUCACGGCACGAGAUUGAUCCUCGUGUUCACGCUCAUCGCCACUCAUAGUACCGCGGCGCACCUUAUCACUUCCCUCCUCCUUCCUCGAUCUACUGGCGGAACUCUGCACAUCGGAGUUUUCCUUCGUCGCCUCCUCUCUUCCGCCGUCUGACUCAACUAAAUCGGAGAGAGCUCUGCAAAGAAAAAAAAGAAAAAAAAAAGAAGAAGAAAGAGAAGAGAGAGAGAGAGUAAACGUGGGAGAGUGUGUGUGAAAAUGAGGAAUAAAAUUAAAACCCUAACCCAUAGGGGUAUUUUAGUCUUACCAUAUCUGAUAAGGGGGGUCUCACUAAUUUAAAUUGGGAUUUGGGUUAUGGAAAAAGUCUUUAAAGUCAAUUGGGUUUAAAUCAAAAUAUUUUC
RNAcentral lists this long non-coding RNA (468 nucleotides) under Erythranthe guttata (spotted monkey flower). RNAcentral describes it as "long non-coding RNA (EGUT_LNC002920)". The record is from RNAcentral. Lineage: Eukaryota; Viridiplantae; Streptophyta; Magnoliopsida; Lamiales; Phrymaceae.